AUCGGCCAACGUUCUUCAUCGGUUUGUUCCUUCGUCGGGCGGUUUGUUAUUUCGGCCAGAUCCAGUCACAAAUUUCCAACCACGUUUUUUUAUUUUUCCUUUUUUCGUUCUUUUCAUUUUUUUUUCGUUUUUUUGGAUCUGUAAAUUUUAUGUUUUAGGAAUUUUUUUUAUUUUCAGUUUGUUAUUUUAAGAGUUGUUAUUAGAUCUGUAAAUUUUAUGUUUUAUAAUUUUUUUUUAUUUUCAGUUUAUUAUUUUUAGGGUUCUUUUUUUAGAUCUGUAAUUUUAUGUUGUAGAUUUUUUCGUUCCUCUAUCUUUAUGUUUUAGGAUUUUUUUUUAUUUUCAAUUGUUACAUAUUUGUUUUAGAUCUGUAGUAUUUUGUUGUUUUUUAUUUUUAUUUUUAUCUGUUUUUUUCGUUUUUGUAAUUAUUUCAGGUCUGUUGUUACAUAUUUGUUGUUUUUUUCGUUUUUUUAUUAUUUUAUAUCUGUUUUUUUCGUUUUUUUAUUAUUUUAUAUCUGUUUUUUUCGUUUUUUGUAAUUAUUUCAGAUCUGUUUUUUUCCAGAUGUAAUAUAAGUUAGUCACUUUAUUUUUUUGUUUGUGUUAGAAUCAAUGUUAAGUUUGUAUGAAUUUUUGUUAUUUUUUUUGAAUUUUGUUAUCUAUCGAAUUUAACGGUAAAAUGCAAAAAAAAAAAAAAAAAUUUUUUUGACCUACACCUUGACAUAUUGCUGCGGUUCCUAGUCAAAACCGCAACAAUAUGCUUAUUCUAUAUUAGUAAAAUAGAGUAUAUUGCUGCGGUUUUUUCUUAAAAACCGCAGCAAUAUAUUUAAUACCUAUUGCUGCGCCCUUAAUUGCUGCGCGCCCAAAUCCGCAGCAAUAUGACACUUUUUAACCGCUUCAAAUAGCAUUUAUUCUACUAGUGAUUAGGGAUAUUGGGUUUGGGAGUCUCUUAGAUAUUAGGAUAAAGAAGUUUUGUCCUAAUCUGAAUUUGGAGGUGUUGUUGAAUUACAAUGCAUCUGGAAUGAUGUUUUCAACAAAGAAUGGUAAACUGAUUUUUAAUAAGUUUACCAUUAGUGAUGUUUUGGGUUUACCUGUGUCAGAUAGACCAGUAGAGGUUAUAGAUGAUGACGCCUUUAGAAGGAAAGGUAGUCAGAUAGAGGCUGGAAGUGCCAGGAAGGAUUGGCAUAGGUUUCUUGGUAUUUCUGACCCCAAGAAGCCAUACAUUGGUAGAAAAAAUUGGGAUGAUUUGUUUAAGAAAUAUCAAUCCGGGGAUGAUUUGAAGAAGUUAUUUGUUAUCUUUUCGUUGUCCAAGCUUCUAUGUCCUAUAGCUGAUUUAGGGCCUGUGCUGAAAUGUGCCAAGAGUUUAGAAGAUGCAUCUACAAUUUCAAGUUAUGACUGGUGUGGAUAUAUAAGUCUUUGUGCUGCUGUUUUGGACUGUCAUCAGUCUAUUAUGAUGAAGAAGAAUGAGCUUGGACAGAAGAAAGUAACAUUCAAGCUUCGGGGAUGCGUUAGCGCUUUGACUCUUGCUGUUAUUCACAACUUCAAGUGUCGUAAUCUGGAUUAUUCAAAUGUCAGUAAGCCAUUUAUCACUUAUUGGCAGGAAGAGAAGGAUUUGAGUAGUGUUGUGAAGCAGUUUGAGAUCAACAUGGAUUUUAUUCUGCCGGUGAAGCGUGAAAAACAGAAGGUUGAGUUUAAAGCUCCUAGUGUUAGUGCUGCUAGUAGGAAGUCUGGUUCUCCUAUAAUGAAGGUGGUUGAGGGUCCAUCACCUUCAACUAGGCAGCUUAUUAUGGAUCUUCCUCAUAGUUUGAUGACUGAUGAGGAAAUAGAUGCUCUUGAUGUUCCUGAAUAUGUGAAGAACAUGCACAAGUUGAAGAGGAAUGCGCUUGCAUUCUGUCAAGUGAACUUGGAGAUUGCCCAAAAUAUUCGGGAGGAAGGCGAGAAGCUGUCUCAAGACAGUAUUUCUCUGGAUGACAGUGAAGUAUUUAACCCAGAUUUUCUGAGUCAAAUUGACGACAUAUGCAAGCGUCAUUUGGAAGCGAAAGACAGUGCAAACAAAGUUGAUCCUACAAUUUCACUAUUGGUGAAGCGGCCUGUUGAAUUGGAGUUUGGAAGAAAUAAAGAUGUUCCUGAUUUGGAUUCUGGUGUUCAUGGAGUUGAAGAGAAAGAAGGAAAUGAUGAAAAAGAAGGAGAGGAGGAUGAGAAGAAGAGGAAUGCUGCUGCUGCUGCUGAUGAUGAUGAUGAUGAUGAUGAUGAUGAUGAUGAUGAUGAUGAUGGUGGUGAUGAUAAGGAUCACCAGAAUUAUAAUGAGACAAAGGAUGAUGAUGCUGAUGAUAAUGGUGAUGUUGGUCUUCAAGGAGAUGAAGACAAAGGAGGAGAUAAGGAUGCUGGUGUUCAUGGAGAUGGAGAGGAAGGUGGAAAUAAUGAGAAAGAACCAAAGGAAGAUGAUAAGAAGACUGGCAAUGCUGAUGAUGAUGGUGGUCUUCAAGGAGAUAAAGAGAAAGGAGGAAAUAAAGAGUUGGAUGCAAUUUUAUCAUUUAACGAUUUAACUUAUCUUAUGUGUUUAUUGUUCAUUUUAGGUGUGACUUGUGUUGUUGCUAGCACCUUGAAUUGCUUUGUCUAUACGUGGAUUAAUUAGUUAUGAGUUGAGCUGCUGCGACUAUAUAAUCUGACAGCCAUAGGACAAGUGCCAGAGAUGCAAGCAUCAUAUACAUGGUUACAACCCAACUUCCACCAAAUGCUGUGUUUCUGUCUUCUUGUGUUAAGAAUACAGUUUAGGCUUGAAAGAACUGAAGGGGUAUUCAUGAUUGUUGUUUGGCGAUUGAGAAUGAGUUUGAGAUUCAAAUUGUUGCAAUUGGACAAGUGCACAUACCAGGGUCAACGGAAGUGACUUUCAAUCAUUUCACCUCUUUAUCCCAAGACUAUCGUCGAGUCUCUAUUACCAAAGAUAUUGUGCCAACUGCACCAUUGCCAUGUCCUAAUGAGGAGUGUAGUGUAGUGUGUCAAGCAAAGUGUACCUUUGUUUCUUGGCCUGCUCACUUAAUUUUUCCAAAGACAAAGGUACACUGAUCAUUCAUGUCAAGGCAGCAAAGGUUGUUGUCUCACAAUCACCAGCUUCACAAACAUCAACCACUCAGAAGUAUGACAUUACUGAUAAGGAUCAUGCUAAGGUGACCACUGAUUUGCUGAGGACUUUGAAGAAAGAAGCUAUGGUGAUG
This is an RNA transcript of Beta vulgaris subsp. vulgaris (sugar beet), 3209 nucleotides long. RefSeq lists it as uncharacterized. The transcript has 7 exons. The record is from RefSeq and is a predicted model, not a curated record. NCBI's taxonomy places the organism in Eukaryota, Viridiplantae, Streptophyta, Magnoliopsida, Caryophyllales, Amaranthaceae.